Molecule: ribosomal RNA, 267 nt
Filed under: uncultured bacterium
Lineage: Bacteria
Description: partial 16S ribosomal RNA
Rfam family: Bacterial small subunit ribosomal RNA
Source: RNAcentral
AUUGAACGCUGGCGGCAUGCCUAACACAUGCAAGUCGAACGGUAACAGGCCCUUCGGGUGCUGACGAGUGGCGGAUGGGUGAGUAAUACUUAGGAAUCUACCCUGUAGUGGGGGACAACCCGGGGAAACUCGGGCUAAUACCGCAUACGCUCUACGGAGGAAAGCGGGGACCGCAAGGCCUCGCGCUAUUGGAUGAGCCUAAGCCCGAUUAGCUAGUUGGUGGGGUAAUAGCCUACCAAGGCAAUGAUCGGUAGCUGGUCUGAGAGG